RNAcentral lists this ribosomal RNA (973 nucleotides) under Alteromonas sp. Its description in RNAcentral is "bacterial SSU rRNA". It matches the Rfam family "Bacterial small subunit ribosomal RNA", at positions 61 to 1031 of the family's 1533-position model. Lineage: Bacteria; Pseudomonadati; Pseudomonadota; Gammaproteobacteria; Alteromonadales; Alteromonadaceae. The record is from RNAcentral.
GUCGAACGGAAACAUGUCUAGCUUGCUAGAUGAUGUCGAGUGGCGGACGGGUGAGUAAUGCUUGGGAACUUGCCUUUGCGAGGGGGAUAACAGUUGGAAACGACUGCUAAUACCGCAUAAUGUCUUCGGACCAAACGGGGCUUCGGCUCCGGCGCAAAGAGAGGCCCAAGUGAGAUUAGCUAGUUGGUGAGGUAAAGGCUCACCAAGGCAACGAUCUCUAGCUGUUCUGAGAGGAAGAUCAGCCACACUGGGACUGAGACACGGCCCAGACUCCUACGGGAGGCAGCAGUGGGGAAUAUUGCACAAUGGGGGAAACCCUGAUGCAGCCAUGCCGCGUGUGUGAAGAAGGCCUUCGGGUUGUAAAGCACUUUCAGUUGUGAGGAAAAGUUAGUAGUUAAUACCUGCUAGCCGUGACGUUAACAACAGAAGAAGCACCGGCUAACUCCGUGCCAGCAGCCGCGGUAAUACGGAGGGUGCGAGCGUUAAUCGGAAUUACUGGGCGUAAAGCGCACGCAGGCGGUUUGUUAAGCUAGAUGUGAAAGCCCCGGGCUCAACCUGGGACGGUCAUUUAGAACUGGCAGACUAGAGUCUUGGAGAGGGGAGUGGAAUUCCAGGUGUAGCGGUGAAAUGCGUAGAUAUCUGGAGGAACAUCAGUGGCGAAGGCGACUCCCUGGCCAAAGACUGACGCUCAUGUGCGAAAGUGUGGGUAGCGAACAGGAUUAGAUACCCUGGUAGUCCACACCGUAAACGCUGUCUACUAGCUGUUUGUGACUUUAAGUCGUGAGUAGCGAAGCUAACGCGAUAAGUAGACCGCCUGGGGAGUACGGCCGCAAGGUUAAAACUCAAAUGAAUUGACGGGGGCCCGCACAAGCGGUGGAGCAUGUGGUUUAAUUCGAUGCAACGCGAAGAACCUUACCUACACUUGACAUGUUGAGAAGUUACCAGAGAUGGUUUCGUGCCUUCGGGAACUCAA